UACGAAGGGGGCUAGCGUGGCUCGGAAUCACUGGGCGUAAAGGGUGCGUAGGCGGGGCUUUAAGGCAGGGGUGAAAUCCUGGAGCUCAACUCCAGAACUGCCUUUGAUACUGAAGAUCUUGAGUUCGGGAGAGGUGAGUGGAACUGCGAGUGUAGAGGUGAAAUUCGUAGAUAUUCGCAAGAACACCAGAGGCGAAGGCGGCUCACUGGCCCGAUACUGACGCUGAGGCACGAAAGCGUGGGGAGCAAACAGG
RNAcentral lists this ribosomal RNA (253 nucleotides) under uncultured bacterium. RNAcentral's name for it is "partial 16S ribosomal RNA". It matches the Rfam family "Bacterial small subunit ribosomal RNA", at positions 524 to 776 of the family's 1533-position model. The record is from RNAcentral.